ACUUAAGCAUAUCAAUAAGCGGAGGAAAAGAAACCAACCGGGAUUGCCCUAGUAACGGCGAGUGAAGCGGCAAGAGCUCAAAUUUGAAAGCUGGCCCCCUCGGGGUCCGCAUUGUAAUUUGCAGAGGAUGCUUCGGGAGCGGUCCCCAUCUAAGUGCCCUGGAACGGGCCGUCAUAGAGGGUGAGAAUCCCGUAUGGGAUGGGGUGCCCGCGCCCGUGUGAAGCUCCUUCGACGAGUCGAGUUGUUUGGGAAUGCAGCUCUAAUUGGGUGGUAAAUUUCAUCUAAAGCUAAAUAUUGGCCGGAGACCGAUAGCGCACAAGUAGAGUGAUCGAAAGAUGAAAAGCACUUUGAAAAGAGAGUUAAACAGCACGUGAAAUUGUUGAAAGGGAAGCGCUUGCGAUCAGACUCGCUCGCGGGGUUCAGCCGGCCUUCGGGCCGGUGUACUUCCCCGCGGGCGGGCCAGCGUCGGUUUGGGCGGCCGGUCAAAGGCCCCUGGAAUGUAACGCCUCUCGGGGCGUCUUAUAGCCAGGGGUGCCAUGCGGCCUGCCCGGACCGAGGAACGCGCUUCGGCUCGGACGCUGGCAUAAUGGUCGUAAGCGACCCGUCUUGAAACACGGACCAAGGAGUCUAACAUCUACGCGAGUGUUCGGGUGUCAAACCCGUGCGCGCAGUGAAAGCGAACGGAGGUGGGAACCCCUCGGGGUGCACCAUCGACCGAUCCUGAUGUCUUCGGAUGGAUUUGAGUAAGAGCGUAGCUGUUGGGACCCGAAAGAUGGUGAACUAUGCCUGAAUAGGGCGAAGCCAGAGGAAACUCUGGUGGAGGCUCGCAGCGGUUCUGACGUGCAAAUCGAUCGUCAAAUUUGGGUAUAGGGGCGAAAGACUAAUCGAACCAUCUAGUAGCUGGUUCCUGCCGAA
RNAcentral lists this ribosomal RNA (915 nucleotides) under Penicillium westlingii. RNAcentral describes it as "LSU rRNA". It matches the Rfam family "Eukaryotic large subunit ribosomal RNA", at positions 32 to 965 of the family's 3401-position model. The record is from RNAcentral. Lineage: Eukaryota; Fungi; Ascomycota; Eurotiomycetes; Eurotiales; Aspergillaceae.